This 429-nucleotide ribosomal RNA is filed under the name bacterium. RNAcentral describes it as "partial 16S ribosomal RNA". It matches the Rfam family "Bacterial small subunit ribosomal RNA", at positions 355 to 776 of the family's 1533-position model. The record is from RNAcentral.
UAGGGAAUCUUCGGCAAUGGACGAAAGUCUGACCGAGCAACGCCGCGUGAGUGAAGAAGGUUUUCGGAUCGUAAAACUCUGUUGGUAGAGAAGAACGUUGGUGAGAGUGGAAAGCUCAUCAAGUGACGGUAACUACCCAGAAAGGGACGGCUAACUACGUGCCAGCAGCCGCGGUAAUACGUAGGUCCCGAGCGUUGUCCGGAUUUAUUGGGCGUAAAGCGAGCGCAGGUGGUUUAUUAAGUCUGGUGUAAAAGGCAGUGGCUCAACCAUUGUAUGCAUUGGAAACUGGUAGACUUGAGUGCAGGAGAGGAGAGUGGAAUUCCAUGUGUAGCGGUGAGAUGCGUAGAUAUAUGGAGGAGCACCGGUGGCGAAAGCGGCUCUCUGGCCUGUAACUGACACUGAGGCUCGAAAGCGUGGGGAGCAAACAGG